RNAcentral lists this ribosomal RNA (1620 nucleotides) under Escherichia coli. RNAcentral's name for it is "partial 23S ribosomal RNA". It matches the Rfam family "Bacterial large subunit ribosomal RNA", at positions 1339 to 2925 of the family's 2925-position model. The record is from RNAcentral. Lineage: Bacteria; Pseudomonadati; Pseudomonadota; Gammaproteobacteria; Enterobacterales; Enterobacteriaceae.
GGAAGACCAAGGGUUCCUGUCCAACGUUAAUCGGGGCAGGGUGAGUCGACCCCUAAGGCGAGGCCGAAAGGCGUAGUCGAUGGGAAACAGGUUAAUAUUCCUGUACUUGGUGUUACUGCGAAGGGGGGACGGAGAAGGCUAUGUUGGCCGGGCGACGGUUGUCCCGGUUUAAGCGUGUAGGCUGGUUUUCCAGGCAAAUCCGGAAAAUCAAGGCUGAGGCGUGAUGACGAGGCACUACGGUGCUGAAGCGACAAAUGCCCUGCUUCCAGGAAAAGCCUCUAAGCAUCAGGUAACAUCAAAUCGUACCCCAAACCGACACAGGUGGUCAGGUAGAGAAUACCAAGGCGCUUGAGAGAACUCGGGUGAAGGAACUAGGCAAAAUGGUGCCGUAACUUCGGGAGAAGGCACGCUGAUAUGUAGGUGAAGCGACUUGCUCGUGGAGCUGAAAUCAGUCGAAGAUACCAGCUGGCUGCAACUGUUUAUUAAAAACACAGCACUGUGCAAACACGAAAGUGGACGUAUACGGUGUGACGCCUGCCCGGUGCCGGAAGGUUAAUUGAUGGGGUUAGCGGUAACGCGAAGCUCUUGAUCGAAGCCCCGGUAAACGGCGGCCGUAACUAUAACGGUCCUAAGGUAGCGAAAUUCCUUGUCGGGUAAGUUCCGACCUGCACGAAUGGCGUAAUGAUGGCCAGGCUGUCUCCACCCGAGACUCAGUGAAAUUGAACUCGCUGUGAAGAUGCAGUGUACCCGCGGCAAGACGGAAAGACCCCGUGAACCUUUACUAUAGCUUGACACUGAACAUUGAGCCUUGAUGUGUAGGAUAGGUGGGAGGCUUUGAAGUGUGGACGCCAGUCUGCAUGGAGCCGACCUUGAAAUACCACCCUUUAAUGUUUGAUGUUCUAACGUGGGCCCCUUACCGGGGUUGCGGACAGUGUCUGGUGGGUAGUUUGACUGGGGCGGUCUCCUCCUAAAGAGUAACGGAGGAGCACGAAGGUUGGCUAAUCCUGGUCGGACAUCAGGAGGUUAGUGCAAUGGCAUAAGCCAGCUUGACUGCGAGCGUGACGGCGCGAGCAGGUGCGAAAGCAGGUCAUAGUGAUCCGGUGGUUCUGAAUGGAAGGGCCAUCGCUCAACGGAUAAAAGGUACUCCGGGGAUAACAGGCUGAUACCGCCCAAGAGUUCAUAUCGACGGCGGUGUUUGGCACCUCGAUGUCGGCUCAUCACAUCCUGGGGCUGAAGUAGGUCCCAAGGGUAUGGCUGUUCGCCAUUUAAAGUGGUACGCGAGCUGGGUUUAGAACGUCGUGAGACAGUUCGGUCCCUAUCUGCCGUGGGCGCUGGAGAACUGAGGGGGGCUGCUCCUAGUACGAGAGGACCGGAGUGGACGCAUCACUGGUGUUCGGGUUGUCAUGCCAAUGGCACUGCCCGGUAGCUAAAUGCGGAAGAGAUAAGUGCUGAAAGCAUCUAAGCACGAAACUUGCCCCGAGAUGAGUUCUCCCUGACUCCUUGAGAGUCCUGAAGGAACGUUGAAGACGACGACGUUGAUAGGCCGGGUGUGUAAGCGCAGCGAUGCGUUGAGCUAACCGGUACUAAUGAACCGUGAGGCUUAACCUUACAACGCCGAAG